UCUAGGGCUUUCCAGGAGCCAUGGGACCUAGAGGACCUAAGGGUCACAUGGGUGAAAGAGUGAUAGGACAUAAAGGAGAGCGGGGUGUGAAAGGGUUAACAGGACCCCCGGGACCACCAGGAACAGUUAUUGUGACCCUAACUGGCCCAGAUAACAGAACGGACCUCAAGGGGGAAAAGGGAGACAAGGGAGCAAUGGGCGAGCCUGGACCUCCUGGACCCUCAGGAAAACCCGGAAAAGAUGGUGU
This 247-nucleotide long non-coding RNA is filed under the name Pan troglodytes (chimpanzee). RNAcentral describes it as "long non-coding RNA NONPTRT010933". The record is from RNAcentral. Lineage: Eukaryota; Metazoa; Chordata; Mammalia; Primates; Hominidae.